Molecule: ribosomal RNA, 492 nt
Filed under: uncultured bacterium
Lineage: Bacteria
Description: partial 16S ribosomal RNA
Rfam family: Bacterial small subunit ribosomal RNA
Source: RNAcentral
AGUGAACGCUGGCGGUAGGCCUAACACAUGCAAGUCGAACGGCAGCACAGUAAGAGCUUGCUCUUACGGGUGGCGAGUGGCGGACGGGUGAGGAAUACAUCGGAAUCUACUUUUUCGUGGGGGAUAACGUAGGGAAACUUACGCUAAUACCGCAUACGACCUACGGGUGAAAGCAGGGGAUCUUCGGACCUUGCGCGAUUGAAUGAGCCGAUGUCGGAUUAGCUAGUUGGCGGGGUAAAGGCCCACCAAGGCGACGAUCCGUAGCUGGUCUGAGAGGAUGAUCAGCCACACUGGAACUGAGAAACGGUCCAGACUCCUACGGGAGGCAGCAGUGGGGAAUAGUGGACAAUGGGCGCAAGCCUGAACCAGCCAUACAGCGUGGGUGAAGAAGGCCUUCGGGUUGUAAAGCCCUUUUGUUGGGAAAGAAAAGCAGCAGGUUAAUACACCGCUGUGGUGACGGUACCCAAAGAAUAAGCACCGGCUAACUACGUG